This 497-nucleotide ribosomal RNA is filed under the name uncultured bacterium. RNAcentral's name for it is "partial 16S ribosomal RNA". It matches the Rfam family "Bacterial small subunit ribosomal RNA", at positions 28 to 507 of the family's 1533-position model. The record is from RNAcentral.
GAUGAACGCUGGCGGCGUGCCUAAUACAUGCAAGUCGAGCGAACAGAUGAGGAGCUUGCUCCUCUGACGUUAGCGGCGGACGGGUGAGUAACACGUGGAUAACCUACCUAUAAGACUGGGAUAACUUCGGGAAACCGGAGCUAAUACCGGAUAAUAUAUUGAACCGCAUGGUUCAAUAGUGAAAGACGGUUUUGCUGUCACUUAUAGAUGGAUCCGCGCCGCAUUAGCUAGUUGGUAAGGUAACGGCUUACCAAGGCAACGAUGCGUAGCCGACCUGAGAGGGUGAUCGGCCACACUGGAACUGAGACACGGUCCAGACUCCUACGGGAGGCAGCAGUAGGGAAUCUUCCGCAAUGGGCGAAAGCCUGACGGAGCAACGCCGCGUGAGUGAUGAGGGUCUUCGGAUCGUAAACCUCUGUUAUUAGGGAAGAACAAAUGUGUAAGUAACUAUGCACGUCUUGACGGUACCUAAUCAGAAAGCAACGGCUAACUACGUG